Molecule: ribosomal RNA, 328 nt
Filed under: Theileria lestoquardi
Lineage: Eukaryota; Apicomplexa; Aconoidasida; Piroplasmida; Theileriidae
Description: bacterial SSU rRNA
Rfam family: Eukaryotic small subunit ribosomal RNA (bases 1-273)
Source: RNAcentral
UGUGGGUUUAUAGCUUGCACCUUGACUCGAGCGGGAGGUUUUGCCCCGCGGAAUUUUGGUUCGGUUUUGAGGGGGAACCUGAGGGGGCCUCUCCCCCUCUCAUUAAGCCAGAGGGGCGCAUUGUACCCAUUCCAGACACAGGGAGGUAGUGACAAGAAAUAACAAUCCGGGGCUUAAAGUCUUGUAAUUGGAAUGAUGGGAAUUUAAACCUCUUCCAGAGUAUCAAUCGAGGGCAAGUCUGGUGGCAGCAGUCGCGGUAAUCCAGCCCGGAAACGAAACCUAAAACCCGGCAGCCAACGAGCUCCGAUAGCCAACAGCUACCUCCAAG